This 999-nucleotide long non-coding RNA is filed under the name Sus scrofa (pig). RNAcentral's name for it is "lncRNA (ENSSSCG00035052729.1)". Lineage: Eukaryota; Metazoa; Chordata; Mammalia; Artiodactyla; Suidae. The record is from RNAcentral.
CUUCAACCCAAGCACCCUGGCAAUGCACGACACUUUCUGCCUCAUUAAUUGUGGCAAACAAAAAUGACCAAACAACUACUUAAACCAAAUAGUAGAAAAAAAUAAGUACUAAAUAGGUAUUCAUAUUUCAAGAACUCACUUGCAAAUUAUCCAAAAAAGUUUUUGAGUAAAUAUUUAACAUUCACUAUUAUGUGUCUUUCAUAAUCAGGCAAGGAAAACUGAACCUAUUUCUAUAUAAUCAAAACAAAUGCUAAUCACAAAGGGAAGCAAAUUGAUUGCUUAUGAUUGAUUAUCUGAAUUCCCAUGUUUCAUAAGCAAAACAGCUGUCUGUUAAGGGGCAUAACAGGUUUUUAACAGGAAAAGGAUUAAGGGUUUUAUUUUCCUCAACUGAGGCAUAAAAUGAGCAAGAUUUUUCAAGUUAACUUUCAUUUCAUCUGGCUCAGGUGUCAGGGAUCUAUAUUUAUCUCGGUUUUCGGCAUGCCUCCCGUAUGAAGCGCUGGAAGUCAAGGCAUGUCAAUGGCUUUCAGAUGUCAGGAUAACCUUAAAGACUGAUGAGUGGUCAAGACCCCAUGCCUCAUUUCUGAGUUCUCAGCUGCUGUGCCUUGGAGAUCAUGUGUUUAUUUUCUCAGUCUCUUCCUGCAACAGUCCCAGUUUUACGAUCCUACAUCUGGGCAAGCAAGCUCCUCUUGAAGUUGAUAUCUUACAAAUGAUUAGAAGAAUCGAUUCCUUCUGAGACUCAUCAGAUCAUUUCCUGCAAAAUCCUCAUCUUGCUGUCUACUUGUGGAAAAGAAGCAUACCUCUUGGAAACUACCUUCCUUAGACCUCAGAGUUUGAAAGAAGCAGGUGCUGAAUCUUAGUUUUUCGUGAACAAGAAAAAUGGGCUGCAAUAGAGACUGUGGACUCAUUGCUGGUGCUGUCAUUGGAGCAGUCCUGGCCGUGUUUGGAGGUAUUCUAAUGCCAGUUGGAGACAUGAUUAUUCAGAAGACAAUUAAAAAGGUA